GGCUUGGUGGUGGUUUGAGUGUUGGACUACAACUCUGGAGACCAGGGUUCGAUUCCCAGCUCAGCCA
Non-coding RNA from Phrynosoma platyrhinos (Desert horned lizard), 67 nucleotides. The record is from the annotation of a GenBank genome assembly. NCBI's taxonomy places the organism in Eukaryota, Metazoa, Chordata, Lepidosauria, Squamata, Phrynosomatidae.